Molecule: long non-coding RNA, 1694 nt
Organism: Lagopus leucura (white-tailed ptarmigan)
Lineage: Eukaryota; Metazoa; Chordata; Aves; Galliformes; Phasianidae
Exons: 3
Source: RefSeq, a predicted model, not a curated record
GCUGGAGCGCACCCAGGCGCCGGCAGGAAGAACCCGAGGUUUCCAGCCAAACCAGCUUGCAGAGCCGCGAGUGGGAGCUGCCCGUAGAAAUGUGCCUCCAUCCCCGGAUCUUCACGGCCCUACGGUCAGCAGCUCCCACCCACCCAGCCCGGAGGGGCCUGUAAUGCAGAGGGGCUCAGGCAGCUGUUUCCAAACCGACACUCGCCACUCCUACAGGUAAAAGAGCCUUUUGCAGCGGAUGGGAAAUCGGUGAUAGCAGCACUUCUGCCACGUCCAGGUUCUCCUGGCUGCCCACGACCUUUCUGGGGUGGAACAACACAGCGUCAGCUGGGAUGGAGCUCAGAGCUCCAGGCUGUGUGCUGCAGCAUCACUUCUAACAAGAGCCAACAGCGGAUGAAGUUCCUCCCGUGGAGUUGGUACCUGGAUGAAAGCACCCAAUAGAAGAAACCUGUGUGAGUACCCUGGAACUGUGAGCGUUUUCCUCCCGGCGCUGAUGUGAUCAGGUGGGAAUCUGCCUUUCGUGGACGUGCUGCUGGAAGCUGAUCUCCUGUCCUGGCAGCACUCACAUCUUGCUGCUCUGAAACGUCAUCGUUUGCAUACCAGGGAUAAUAGCUAACGUUGCUUCCAUGGAUAACAUAAUCCCUCCACCCUCGUGUGUGUAUCCCAACCGUGGGAUGUGCUGUCAUUUCCCUCCUGGCCUCCCUAAGGGAAUAUUUGUAGGAAAAAGUCUCUGCUGCACUGGAAGCUGCUGCACAGAGGGGAUGGAACAAGCAGGCAACGCCAGCUCUUGCUGGGGAGGAAGGAACAGAAGCUGGAUAUGAAUGAGCUCCACUUUGCAAGCCUGCAGGUCUGUUAGCACUGCAUAUGUGCCCUGAUUGGAAGCAGAGAGAGGGCAUGAGUCAGACUGAUGGGUGGGAAGCGUUUUGCUCCUGUUUUCUAGCUCAGCUUUAACGUUCAAACAUAACCCCUUUUAUUCAUUGUAGCACAAACACCACAAACACCACAAACACCUGAAAUACUGCAGGUAAUCCGUUUUGAGGUCUGCCAUUACAAAGUGAACCCACAACAGUCCUGCUGGGGUAUUCACCCUCCAGCAAUUAGGUUUCCUCGGGAAGACACCUAAAGGAAAAGGCUGCCAUAAACCCAGGGCCCAGCCCGCUCACUCCAUCUAUGCCUCAUCCCUUCCCAGCCCAAAGCUGGAAUUCAAAAGGGAAAAGCACUCAUCACCAAAGCACUGCAGCAGGGACAGCUGCAAGAGAGCAGCCCAGCCCAGAGCCACAGCUCCAUGCACGAGCACCAGCAGAGCUGUGAUCCAACACCAGCGCUGCCUCAGGACUCACCCCUCAUCGCAGAGCACGUUCACAUGUGUGCCAAACAGAAAAUCUGUGGGUUGGAGGAUCCUCCCUGCAGGUGGGGCCUCUGGGGGACCACAGGAUUUCCCUGCAGGGAGAAGAGCAGAGUGAGCAUCCAUCGCAGUGCUUUGGCUGUGGGGCACUCGGCUGUAAGAAACCUACAGCUGCCACACCAUCCUUCUUAAUGCUGUAUGGAUUUCAUUAGGGAAAUCUCGUGCUUGGUCUUCAAUGCUAGAAAUCCUCCCUGCAAGUUGGCGCUUGUCCCAUGCAUAUGUUAAUGUCCAGCUGCAAACGUUAUGUGAAAAUCAAAACCCAUGUGUUUGUGCCAACAGAAAAUAAAGA